This 219-nucleotide non-coding RNA is filed under the name Albugo candida. Its description in RNAcentral is "Bacterial large subunit ribosomal RNA". It matches the Rfam family "Bacterial large subunit ribosomal RNA", at positions 629 to 852 of the family's 2925-position model. The record is from Rfam by way of RNAcentral. Lineage: Eukaryota; Oomycota; Peronosporomycetes; Albuginales; Albuginaceae.
UUAUUUUUAUAGCAAGCUUAAUUUUAGAAACAGGCGUAGAAAUCAAAUUUUAAAAAAUAUAUUUAGUUAUAAAAAUAAGACCCGAUACCGGGUGAUCUAACUAUGAACAGAUUGAAAAAUGGAUGAAACUUUUUGAAAGAUCGAACUCACAUAUGUGGCAAAAUAUAGACAUGAUUUGUGGUUAGGAGUGAAAGGCUAAUCAAACUCGGAUAUAGCUGG